UGAUGACGAGACGCUAAGGCGUUGAAGCAGUGUAUGUCAGACUUCCAAGAAAAGCUCGCAAUGUCAUAGAUAAAAAAUGCCUGUACCAUAACCGACACAGGUGGGUAGGUAGAGUAUACUAAGGGGCGCGAGAUAACUCUCUCUAAGGAACUCGGCAAAAUGACUCCGUAACUUCGGGAGAAGGAGUGCCUUAUUUAUAAGGUUGCAAUAACAAGAUCCAAGCAACUGUUUAUCAAAAACACAGGUCUCCGCUAAGUCGUAAGACGAUGUAUGGGGGCUGACGCCUGCCCAGUGCCAGAAGGUUAAAGAAGUUGGUUAGUGUAUGCGAAGCUGAUGACUGAAGCCCUGGUGAACGGCGGCCGUAACGAUAACGGUCCUAAGGUAGCGAAAUUCCUUGUCGGGUAAGUUCCGACCCGCACGAAAGGCGUAAUGAUUUGGAUACUGUCUCGGAGAGAGGCUCGGUGAAAUAGACUUGUCUGUGAAGAUGCGGACUACCUGCACCAGGACAGAAAGACCCUAUGAAGCUUUACUGUAACUUGAAAUUGGAAUUGGACUUUGCUUGCGCAGUAUAGGUGGGAAGCGUUGAAGAUAUUCUUGCGGGAGUAUUGGAGCUAUCAGUGAGAUACCACUCUUGUAAUGUUAGAUUUCUAACUUUGAACCAUAAUCUGGUCAAAGAACAGUUUCAGGUGGGCAGUUUGACUGGGGCGGUCGCCUCCCAAAUGGUAACGGAGGCGUACAAAGGUUUCCUCUGAACGGAUAGAAAUCGUAUCUAGAGUGUAAAGGCAUAAGGAAGCUUGACUGUGAGACCUACAAGUCGAGCAGGGACGAAAGUCGGUCUUAGUGAUCUGACGGUACUGAGUGGAAAGGCCGUCACUCAACGGAUAAAAGUUACUCUAGGAUAACAGGCUGAUCUCCCCCAAGAGUUCACAUCGACGUGGAGGUUUGGCACCUCGAUGUCCGCUCAUCGCAUCCUGGGGCGGUAGUACGUCCCAAGGGUUGGGCUGUUCGCCCAUGAAAGCGGUACGCGAGCUGGGUUCAGAACGUCGUGAGACAGUUCGGUCCAUAUCCGGUGUAGGCGCUAGAAUAUUGAGAGGAGCCUUCUUUAGUACGAGAGGGCCGAGAAGGACACACCGCUGGUGUACCAGUUAUCGUGCCAACGGUAAACGCUGGGUAGCUAUGUGUGGAGUGGAUAACCGCUGAAAGCAUCUAAGUGGGAAGCCCACCUCAAGAUGAG
This 1234-nucleotide ribosomal RNA is filed under the name metagenome. Its description in RNAcentral is "bacterial LSU rRNA". It matches the Rfam family "Bacterial large subunit ribosomal RNA", at positions 1564 to 2808 of the family's 2925-position model. The record is from RNAcentral.